Molecule: long non-coding RNA, 2951 nt
Organism: Homo sapiens (human)
Lineage: Eukaryota; Metazoa; Chordata; Mammalia; Primates; Hominidae
Product: long intergenic non-protein coding RNA 1270
Source: Ensembl
AGAACUCGGGUAUUAAUGACCCGGAGCCACAUGACGGAGCAUGACACAGCACUUUUGGGCACAAGGCAGGGCCCAGAGGGGUGCGUGGGGGCCGCAGCCCAGCCCCCAAGCCCCGCCAGCGGCUUUACUGGGGUGUAACAAACACACGAUAAACUGCGCAUAUUCCAGUGUUCAUGUGGAUGAGUUUGGACAUAUGCACACACUUCCGAAACCACCAGCACAAUCAAGACAGCAGACAUAUCCAUCGCCCCCAAGGGUGUCCUUGUGUCUUUUUGUCAUUCAUCCCUCCCGGCCGCCCCAUCCACACUCCCAUCGCCUGCCGACUGUGGCUGAUCUGCUUUCUGCGGCUGUGGAUUAGUUUGCGUUCUCUACAAUUUUCUGCUCCUGGAGCUGCCAGGCAGUAAUUAACCCUCACAGCACCCUUCUGAAGUCAGCACUGGAGGCAGACGUGUGAUGAAACACGUUUAUUACAGGAAGCACCAGUUAGCCCAGAUGCUUCUCAUCUUUGGAGUUGAGCUGCAGGCUGGAGACCUGGAAGGCCCUCGCAGCGCCUGCUCCCAUCCUCUCACCUCACGAAAGCGCAGGAAUGUGGGUUUGGAGCCAAUGAAAAGUACUGGAAUCUGGCUCUGCUCUGUGACCCUGGACAAGUCACUGCCCCUCUCUGGGCUUCAGUUUCCUCCUUGCUCCAUGAGGGCAGGGGAUUUUGUCUGUUUCAUUCACAAUGUGUUCCCAGAGCUCAGCACAGUGUCAGGCACACACUAGGUAACAGCACCUCGACUUCCUACUGAAGAACCCCCUCUUCCCUUUUCUCAGUCCAUGAGGCUGGGGGUGCCCAGAGGCCUCUGUCUCCAGGGGUGGACAUGUGACCGGGUCUUGCUCUAGUGAUUGGUCCAGGGAUGGGCACAUGACUGAGCCUGCCCAAUGAAACUUGAUCUUGGGACUUCAGGGUUGGCCAUGAUUUGUGAAGGAGAUGCCAUUUUCCAUUGGAUGGACAGUGAGCAAGUGAACGCUUAGAGAAGAAGAGGACAAAACAAGGGAAAAGCCUGCCUGACAGGAAGCAGCACAGAGCUGGACAGGCUUUGAACUCCUGGAUCCCACUGUACCUGAAAUUAGGCACCUUCAACUUUCUAGUUAUGUGAGCCACUGUCUUUCCCAUUUUUGGCUGAAAACAGUUGGGACUGGCUUUCUGUCCCUUGCAUACAGAAGGUGCUGACUGACCCCUGCCCCAUGGAAGAAGAUACUCCAGGCAGAGGAAAUAGUGUGUAUAGACACCCCUAAGCGAAUGCCAAGCGGGGCACUCAUGUACCAAGAAGAAGGAGGAGGAGGCACCUGGGAGCUGAGCUUAAGAGUUAGUCGGGUGGUCAAGGUGGGAGAAGGGGGUAUCUUUAGCAGAGGGAACAACCAUUGCAAAAGCUUGGAGGGGUGACUAGUUAGUGAAGAUCAACUGUGUGCUGAGCUCGUGUUGGGUGGCAAGGGACACAGACGAAAAGGGCACGGUGGAACCCAGCUACUUCUCACCUGCUCCAGCGCAGUGCAGGCUUGUCUGCUUUUGGAGCCGAGCCUGGACACCUCCGUGUCCUUCCCCCGGCAGAGUGCUGCCAGCACGCUGUCUCAGACUCUCCAGCAUCUCCUGGUUGAUGUGCAUCAUGGGGACCACACAAGAUUAUUUUAUAGGCUGCACAGGCAAAGCAUAAAAUCACCUCGGGUCACAUAGCGAGAGUUAUUCUCUCUGCAAAUUCUUUACAGUCUUUCCUUUAUAUCCAGAAGAGUCUCUGUGUGGUGCUAACUUGCCUCGAAGACCAAAUAAUUGCUAGUCUCCCUUUGUGAAAAGGAGAGCAGGUGUCAGGCUCAUUCAUGUCUCAGGCACACAAUUGUAUCUAGCUAGACUUUUCAAAAUGUCCUAUAGAGCUGCAGCACAUAUGAAUGAGGUGUCCAGCUGGUCCCAAACCUGUAAUCGGCACCCCAGUGAGCAGACUGGACAUCCCCACCCCCACAGCUGCCCUUUCUCCCCUCCACUCAUGUUCCCUCUAGGGCCACCACGAUCCCGACUUGUAUCACCACAGAUGAGUUUCACAUGUUUUUGAAUUUUACAUCUUAUCUGUUUUCUGUUCCUAUACAAGUUUGCCUUUUUUGAAUUCCAUAUAAGUGGGAUUCUACAAUGUGUUAUCUCAAUUUGAGUCUGUUUUUUUUUUCCUGCUCAGCAUGAUGUUUUUGAGAUGCAUAUAUGCGGUUUUGUGUAUCUGUAGAUGGUUCUUUUUUAUUGCAGAAUAAUGUUCCAGGGUAUGGAUGUACCAAAGCUUGUUCAUCCAUUCACCAGCUGAGGGAUAUUUGGACUGUUUCCAGUUUUCAGCCAUUAUAAAUAAAGCCACUAGAAACAUUUGCAAACAGGUUUUUAUGUGAACAUAAAUUUUUGUUUAUCUUGGGUAAAUUUCUAGGAGUGGAAUUGCUGGGCCAGGUGGCCAAGUGUAUGUUUCACUUUAUCAGAAACCGCUGAGCUGUUUUCCAAGGUGUCUGUACCAUUUUUCAUCCCUACCAGCAAUGUAUGAAAGUGUCAGUUGCUUCGUAUUCUCACCAGCACUUGGUGGUGUUAGUUUUUUGUGUGUGUACAUGUGUUUUACUUUUAGUCAUUCAAAUAGGUGAUAAUAGUAUCUCAUUGUGGUGUUAGUUUGCAUUUCCCUAAUGACUAAUGAUGUUGAACAUCUUUGUAUGUGUUUCUUUGCCAUCCGUAUAUUUUCUUUGGUGUAGUAUCUGUUCAAACUUUAUGUCAGUUAAAAAAAAAGACCCAAUUGUUUUCUUCUUAAUAGAUUUGGAGAGUUCUUUAUAUAUAUUCUGGAUACUAGUCAAGCCUUUGUGAAAUAUGUGAUUUGCAAAUAUUUUCUCCUGUUCUGUGGCUUGUCUUUUUAUUCUUUCAAUAGGUAGACUUUAAUAACAUCGUUUUGUUUUCUUUUUAA